GCGUAAUACCGGAUAAUUCUUUUCUACACAUGUAGAAAAGCUGAAAGAUGGUUUCGGCUAUCACUCAUAGAUGGGCCCGCGGCGCAUUAGCUAGUUGGUGAGGUAACGGCUCACCAAGGCGACGAUGCGUAGCCGACCUGAGAGGGUGAUCGGCCACACUGGGACUGAGACACGGCCCAG
Molecule: ribosomal RNA, 180 nt
Filed under: uncultured Bacillus sp.
Lineage: Bacteria; Bacillati; Bacillota; Bacilli; Caryophanales; Bacillaceae
Description: partial 16S ribosomal RNA
Rfam family: Bacterial small subunit ribosomal RNA
Source: RNAcentral